CGAAAGCCUGACGGAGCAAUACCGCGUGAGGGAGGAAGGCUCUUGGGUUGUAAACCUCUUUUCUCAGGGAAGAACAAAAUGACGGUACCUGAGGAAUCAGCAUCGGCUAACUCCGUGCCAGCAGCCGCGGUAAUACGGAGGAUGCAAGCGUUAUCCGGAAUGAUUGGGCGUAAAGCGUCCGCAGGUGGCUUAUCAAGUCGAUUGUCAAAGGUCCUGGCUCAACUGGGAACAGGCAGUGGAAACUGAAAAGCUAGAGUGCGGUAGGGGUAGAGGGAAUUCCCGGUGUAGCGGUGAAAUGCGUAGAGAUCGGGAAGAACACCAGUGGCGAAAGCGCUCUACUAGGCCUGCACUGACACUCAUGGACGAAAGCUAGGGGAGCG
RNAcentral lists this ribosomal RNA (380 nucleotides) under uncultured soil crust cyanobacterium. RNAcentral describes it as "bacterial SSU rRNA". It matches the Rfam family "Bacterial small subunit ribosomal RNA", at positions 376 to 770 of the family's 1533-position model. The record is from RNAcentral. Lineage: Bacteria; Bacillati; Cyanobacteriota.